Molecule: ribosomal RNA, 400 nt
Filed under: uncultured bacterium
Lineage: Bacteria
Description: bacterial SSU rRNA
Rfam family: Bacterial small subunit ribosomal RNA
Source: RNAcentral
UCGAGGAUCUUUAGCAAUGGGCGAAAGCCUGACUAUGCGACGCCGCGUGAGGGAUGAAGGUUUUCGGAUCGUAAACCUCUUUCGAUGGGGAAGAAAUCCUGUAUCAUAAUACGGUACAGGACUGACGGUACCUAGAGAAGAAGCCACGGCCAACUCCGUGCCAGCAGCCGCGGUAAUACGGAGGUGGCGAGCGUUACUCGGAUUCAUUGGGUGUAAAGGGCAGGUAGGCGGCUAUGUAAGUUGGAGGUGAAAUCCUUUGGCUCAACCAAAGAACUGCCUUCAAAACUACAUAGCUUGAGGCUAAAAGAGGAGAGCGGAAUUCCCGGUGUAAGGGUGAAAUCUGUAGAUAUCGGGAGGAACACCAGUGGCGAAGGCGGCUCUCUGGUUUAGUCCUAACGCU